GACGAACGCUGGCGGCGUGCUUAACACAUGCAAGUCGAACGGACAGGCCCGGCUUUUGUGCGGUGCGCGAGUGACGAACGGGUAAGUAACACGUGAGUACCCUGCCCCUGACUUUGGGUUAACCUAAGACAACUGGGGCUAUUACCGGAUAGGAUCUCUCGCUGCUUGGUGGGGGUUGGAAAGUUUCGGCGGUUGGGGAUGGACUUGCGGCUUCUCAGCGUGUUGGUGGGGUAGUGGUGUACCAAGGCUUUGCCAGGUAGCGGGCCUGAGAGGGUGACAGGCCACAUUGGGACUGGGAUACGGCACAGACUCCACCGGGAGGCAGCGGUGGGGAGGGUUACACAAUGGGCGGAAGCAUAAUGCAGCAACGCCGCGUGCGGGAUAACGGGCUUCGGGUUGUAAACCGCUUUCGCCUGUGACGAAGCGUGAGUGACGGUAAUGGGUAAAGAAGCCCCGGCUAACUACGUG
RNAcentral lists this ribosomal RNA (468 nucleotides) under uncultured bacterium. RNAcentral's name for it is "partial 16S ribosomal RNA". It matches the Rfam family "Bacterial small subunit ribosomal RNA", at positions 28 to 507 of the family's 1533-position model. The record is from RNAcentral.